Molecule: ribosomal RNA, 821 nt
Filed under: uncultured bacterium
Lineage: Bacteria
Description: bacterial SSU rRNA
Rfam family: Bacterial small subunit ribosomal RNA
Source: RNAcentral
AGGGUGCGAGCGUUAAUCGGAAUUACUGGGCGUAAAGCGUGCGCAGGUGGUUUGUUAAGUCAGAUGUGAAAGCCCCGAGCUUAACUUGGGAACUGCGUUUGAAACUGGUAAGCUAGAGUCUGUCAGAGGGGGGUAGAAUUCCACGUGUAGCAGUGAAAUGCGUAGAGAUGUGGAGGAAUACCAAUGGCGAAGGCAGCCCCCUGGGAUAAGACUGACGCUCAUGCACGAAAGCGUGGGGAGCAAACAGGAUUAGAUACCCUGGUAGUCCACGCCCUAAACGAUGUCAACUGGUUGUUGGGCAACUUGAUUGUUCAGUAACGAAGCUAACGCGAGAAGUUGACCGCCUGGGGAGUACGGUCGCAAGAUUAAAACUCAAAGGAAUUGACGGGGACCCGCACAAGCGGUGGAUGAUGUGGAUUAAUUCGAUGCAACGCGAAAAACCUUACCUACCCUUGACAUGUACGGAAGUCUGCUGAGAGGUGGAUGUGCCUGAAAGGGAACCGUAACACAGGUGCUGCAUGGCUGUCGUCAGCUCGUGUCGUGAGAUGUUGGGUUAAGUCCCGCAACGAGCGCAACCCUUGCUAUUAAUUGCCAUCAUUAAGUUGGGCACUUUAAUAGGACUACUGGUGAUAAACCGGAGGAAGGUGGGGAUGACGUCAAGUCCUCAUGGCCCUUAUGGGUAGGGCUUCCCACGUCAUACAAUGGCCGGUACAGAGGGAUGCCAACCCGCGAGGGGGAGCCAAUCUCAGAAAGCCGGUCGUAGUCCGGAUUGUUCUCUGCAACUCGAGAGCAUGAAGUCGGAAUCGCUAGUAAUCGCGGAU